AUGUCCUGGAGGCAAGAGGGGAUGCGGGAUUGUAGGUCAGCGGAGAGGUCAGGCCUAAUAGUAACAACUGUGGAUUCUGUUAGGCACGUACUGCGUGUCAAAUGCUCGGGUAGAAACCAGCUAACAAGUCUGACACGGCCCCUCUCUGAAGCCAUUUGAGUGGAUGAGCUCCCUGGGAGAGGGAGUGUAAAGCGAGAAGCUAGAAGACCCACAACAGAGCCUCGGGGGAUGCCCACUCUACCAGGAUGAAAGGCAGAGGAGGAGCCAACGGACACAGGAGGCGAAACGGAAUGCGAAGAUCGAAGAUUCUUUCCGGCGAUUUGUUUCACACCGUGAGCUCGUCGAGGGCAGAGAACGUGUCUACCGACUCUGUCGUACUCUCCCAAGCGCUUAGUACAGUGCUCUGCACACAGGAAGCGCUCAGUAAAUACGAUCGAUCGAUUGGACGUUGGGGGCGGAGGAAGAGGAUCGGAGAAAUGCUCUGACGUUAGUUUCACCUCUGCAUUUGUAGACAUAAUUGGUUUUAAUGAACUUUUAAAAUAUUUGAACGCACCACAGUGUCAUCCUCCUCGUUUCCCUCCUCCUCCUCAUUAGCAACUCUGUCACCAAGAAGACCCGACAGACCCACUCCGUAGUCCCCAUCAGAAAGGGAGAGUCUGGAAAGAUAAGGGCUCAGUCAAGGAUAGACCAAAGGGGACAGAUCGGGAAACGGAUGUGCCUCAGAGAAACUCUCAGAUGUUUUUUCACGUGCAGAAGUAGCAAAAUUUUGGCUGGAACUGUGAGUAAAUUUGUAUCCGACGUACCCUACUCGGAAACAGAAUAUGAAUCUGACGUACCUGACGUGGAAACAAAAUAUGAAUCUGACGUACCCCGCUCGGAAACAAUAUGAAUCUGACCUACCCGACUCGGAAACAAAAUAUCAAUCUGACGUACCCGACUCGGAAACAAAAUGUGAAUAUACUUAGAAUUUUUAGGCUUUGCGUGAUUAUAUUUUACGAUAUAGGUGUGUCUCUCGUGAAAACCGCAAAUUUGGGCACAACAACUCCAGAUUAAUUGAGCCUGAAGUUCCUGGGAACUCAACAGUAUAUCCGCAGUAGCAGGAACUUUGGCCGAGUCUUCUACGACACCAGCUACCGAGAGGAGAAAGCCAUUUUUUACGCUUGCGCUCGCUAGCAACAGAAAAUAAAUACUCCCCAAACUUGCUAAUUAAAAAA
Molecule: long non-coding RNA, 1214 nt
Organism: Ornithorhynchus anatinus (platypus)
Lineage: Eukaryota; Metazoa; Chordata; Mammalia; Monotremata; Ornithorhynchidae
Exons: 2
Source: RefSeq, a predicted model, not a curated record